RNAcentral lists this transfer RNA (66 nucleotides) under Coptotermes travians. RNAcentral describes it as "tRNA-Arg". The record is from RNAcentral. Lineage: Eukaryota; Metazoa; Arthropoda; Insecta; Blattodea; Rhinotermitidae.
AAGUGAGAAGCAACAAUUGCAAUCAGUUUCGACCUGAUCUUAGAUAGUUAUACCUAUCCUCACUAU